This 499-nucleotide ribosomal RNA is filed under the name uncultured bacterium. RNAcentral describes it as "partial 16S ribosomal RNA". It matches the Rfam family "Bacterial small subunit ribosomal RNA", at positions 30 to 523 of the family's 1533-position model. The record is from RNAcentral.
AUUGAACGCUGGCGGAAUGCUUUACACAUGCAAGUCGAACGGCAGCACGGACUUCGGUCUGGUGGCGAGUGGCGAACGGGUGAGUAAUGUAUCGGAACGUGCCCAGUCGUGGGGGAUAACGUAGGGAAAAUUACGCUAAUACCGCAUCCGAUCUAUGGAUGAAAGCGGGGGAUCGCAAGACCUCGCGCGAUUGGAGCGGCGGAUAUCAGAUUAGGUAGUUGGUGGGGUAAAGGCCACCAAGCCAACGAUCUGUAGCUGGUCUGAGAGGGCGACCAGCCACACUGGAACUGAGACACGGUCCAGACUCCUACGGGAGGCAGCAGUGGGGAAUUUUGGACAAUGGGCGAAAGCCUGAUCCAGCCAUUCCGCGUGCAGGAUGAAGGCCCUCGGGUUGUAAACUGCUUCUGUACAGAACGAAAAGGUUUCUACUAAUACUAGGAGCUCAUGACGGUACUGUAAGAAUAAGCACCGGCUAACUACGUGCCAGCAGCCGCGGUAA